GGGGGUGUAGCUCAGCUCGGCAGAGCGCUUCGUUCGCAACGAAGAGGCCACGGGUUCAAAUCCCGUCACCUCCA
This 74-nucleotide transfer RNA is filed under the name bacterium. Its description in RNAcentral is "tRNA-Ala". It matches the Rfam family "tRNA". From Rfam's summary of the family: Transfer RNA (tRNA) molecules are approximately 80 nucleotides in length. Their secondary structure includes four short double-helical elements and three loops (D, anti-codon, and T loops). The record is from RNAcentral. RNAcentral also lists the same sequence under 1 other name.